This 195-nucleotide microRNA precursor is filed under the name Oryza brachyantha (malo sina). Its description in RNAcentral is "MIR812 microRNA precursor family". It matches the Rfam family "MIR812 microRNA precursor family". Lineage: Eukaryota; Viridiplantae; Streptophyta; Magnoliopsida; Poales; Poaceae. The record is from Rfam by way of RNAcentral.
AAUAAAUUAAUUUUUCACUUUUUAUCUAUAAUUUUUGACUCUUCGUCUUAUUUAAAAAUUUUUACGAUUGAUGUUUUUGUUUUUAUUAGAUGAUAAAUCAUAAAUAGUACUUUACGUGUGACUAAUUUUUUUUCUAAUUUUCUAAAAAUUUUUUAAAUAAGACGGAUCGUCAAACGUUAGACAUGAAAACUGGAG